CUGUUAUUUGUGAUGUAGGUCUUACAGACGCCAUCAUGUGCUAUAUAGUCUAUCCUUAAGAGGAUUGUUCUGCUUCUGUUAUUUGUGAUGAAGGUCUUCAGAGAUGCCGUCAUGUGUUAUAUAGUCCUUAAGAGGUAUAUCCUUAAGAGGUUAGCUUGAGACCUUGUUUGUCAAAAGCAUGUUUUAUGACCUUAAAGAGUUGUGAUCUCAAGGUUACCUUGAAAGGGUUGCUUGCACUAAUACUUUCCAGAGGUUGCUGGUGGAAUUACGGUUUCCAAUAGAGUGCAUGCUACAGGCUGCGCGACAACCUUGUCAUGAAGGGCCAACGUCUGCGGUCGUUGCGCCGCCAGCCUCGAAAGCAGCCGUAUCACCGUGGCUUGCGUAUGAAGCUUUGAUAUGAGCUUUUUAAUAAGAGCUUUCUUGCUGCUUGCUGUGUUAGAAGGCGGCUAUGCUCACGCAUGGAGUGUGUCAUGUUCACCUCUCACGAGUUUGAUGUACGCGUUGUUGUGCGUGCGGGGAGCUUCACAGCCUACAGUGACGGAGCCAACUGUGAGUUUGUUCCAUGUAUUUGCUAUUUAAACGACGCCAAUCAUCAUUAUUAUAUUGAGCGGUUGGUUAGUUUGGAAUGCACCGCUCAC
Long non-coding RNA from Leguminivora glycinivorella, 638 nucleotides. RefSeq lists it as uncharacterized. NCBI's taxonomy places the organism in Eukaryota, Metazoa, Arthropoda, Insecta, Lepidoptera, Tortricidae. The record is from RefSeq and is a predicted model, not a curated record. The transcript is spliced from 2 exons.